RNAcentral lists this long non-coding RNA (373 nucleotides) under Salvia miltiorrhiza (redroot sage). Its description in RNAcentral is "long non-coding RNA (SMIL_LNC001315)". The record is from RNAcentral. Lineage: Eukaryota; Viridiplantae; Streptophyta; Magnoliopsida; Lamiales; Lamiaceae.
CCCCUUCGUCCCGACUUCGAACCUGGCCAGGUCUCCAACGUUGCGCACACUUCGGCUACACGUUUCGCCGCGGCCUUCGAACCGUGCGUUGGAGAUGCUCUUAGAGCGUCUCCGAAGUAUAGCAUGAUUUUGCAUACAAACGUGCAAUUCUAGCACAAUCUCUUUUUUCAUAGCAACUCAAAUAAUUGAGUUAUUAGCGUCUAAAUACACCAUCUUUUGGGAUAAUUUGGUUUUGCAUACAAACGUGCAAUUCUAGCCCAAUAUUUUUUUUAUAGCAACCUAAAUAAUUGGGUUAUUAACGCCACAUAUACACACAUCGGUUGUAUAUAAUAUGACUUUCAAUUAUUCAGACAUUGAACAUUUUUACAGAAAU